Molecule: long non-coding RNA, 4077 nt
Organism: Aquila chrysaetos chrysaetos
Lineage: Eukaryota; Metazoa; Chordata; Aves; Accipitriformes; Accipitridae
Exons: 2
Source: RefSeq, a predicted model, not a curated record
ACCGGGGCGGGCGCCUGAGGCCUUUCCUGCCCCGACUGGAACGGCGGCGUGGUGGGUUUCUUGCCCCACGGCCUCGCGAAGGCGUGUGUGAGGCGGGCAGUUGCCGUGGUUUUGAGUUAGGUCCGUAUGAUGGGCUGUAGUAAAUGGCAGUGUCGGGUGAGCCCUGAGAAGGCUGUGGUGCGAUAGGACGUGAGGCCUGCUUCUCGUGUGUGGCGCUGGGUUCGGAAGGCUUUACAGGGAGUUAGCAGACUUAAGAGGCAAAAAUAAAUAAUAAUGAAAUUAUGAUAGUACUUCAUUUCAGUUCGAGAACACUGCUCGAGGCACUAGGACACCUUCACUGCCUUAUAGCUGUGAUCCAGUUUUCAAAUUGUACAUUAAGUGAUUAAGGAAGAGAGUCAAAUGUAAAGUGUCCUGACAUGAGAUAUAUUCAAACUCUCUCGAUGCAAGUCCGCUUCGGGCCUUUUCUAGAACAUUUUUUACAUCUGCACCUUUAACAGGAGAUUAGUUUUACCAUUUUCAAAAGGGCUUUUGAUCUCACCGCUUCCACAUUUGGUCAUGGCAAUAAGGAGUCAAAUUCUGUCCCCUUGAUGAGCAGGAUUUGUUCAGGGGUGUUCAAAUACUUAACAGAAUUACAAAGAAACCAUUACCUGCUUGUGGAAUAAACCUGGCAGUUCGGGUUUGAUAUUUAAUGCGUUUAUUUUUACAAACCGUAAACUACGUUCCACAGCAACUGACGGAGCUGCUGCUAUCACGUGCCAUAGAGAUCACCUUGCUGUUUUCUGCAUAACCUGCAAGCAUCCUUAACAUGCAAGCAUUUAACAUGCUAAUGCAUGUGUUUCAUUAGUGGACCUCAUAUUAAGACUAGAUAUGCCGGUACCCAAAUGUGAUAAGGAAUGAUAAUAGAUUAAUGAUAAUAGACUGAGAUAAAUGACAACAAACUUGGACUUGAAGGGACACUAGGACUUUUAAGAUGCUAGGAUUUAAUUACUUUAAUGAUACUAGGUAAGGAAAAGUUAACAUGGUGAAAAAUAUUUUGUUGCCCAAGUACAGGGAGUAUGAUAAAAAUGUUUUCAGUUAGAGAGAAUGGAAAAUGCAGAAGGAUUUAGAAGAAAAAAUCACUAGCUGGUUUUACAUUCUUAUCUAAGUUGGCCAAUGAUAGUUUAAAAAUGCUAUUUUUUUAAACACUAGAGCUAAAUGUUAAUGGAGAACACAAGAUGGAGCUGAAGAGAGGAAUUUGCAAGCUGUUGUCAGGAAAAUUAAGACAUCUAAGUUUUACCUAUUUAUAUUAGUGGAGAAUUUCGUUUGGAGUUUGCAAAUAACAGAGAAUUUGUAAAGCAUUUUUAAAAAUGAGGAGCUAAUGAAGGGGGUAAUGUUUUCUUGUUUCUGAAGAACAGCUGGUAUUGCACAAUUCAUCUCCUAGAGGGAACCUCACUGUCAACUGUACGGCCAUGGUCAACAUACUCUUUUUUUUUUCCCCCCGCAAUCACAUGCAGCCACUUUGGAGGUUGAAAUUUCAGCAUUUUCCAAAUAACAGAUGAAACUAAGAAUGAAUUCAAGAUUACUGCCUAGCAAGACACUCCCUUUUGAAUGGGGUAACGAAUCUAGAAAGCAAGGCACUGAGCACUGAAAAGUGCUGCAGCUCCCUGCUGCAUUUCUAGAGUAUCCAGAGGGUAGCAGAGUUGGUGCACCAUAGGAUGAUCCAAGCUGCACAGCGGUGGUGGGCAGCCACCACGGCCACGGUCAGAACUGCACAAGCAUCCUUCAUGACUGAUGGUAACCAGAACACCACGUGCCACAUAGCAAGAUAACGGGAAGCACGCUUGAACUCAUGGAAACUCCAGGAAAUUUGCAGCUUCCAGUUAUUGAGCCAUGAAUUGGGAUUCAGCUAUUAGCUAACCUCAGUGACUUCCUCUUAAGCUGGAGCUGAACAGUAAAGAAAAACAUUCCAUUCACGCUGGUGGUGUGCAUGAGGUGGAAAAGACAAUUGUGUUUUAACCUUACUAUUUGCUUGAUCUCGUGCAGAAGAAGCCCAUACUGAAUUACAACAAUCUUGAUACAUAUUUUUUAACAUUUGGGUUCAGUAUUAUCUCUAGAUGAAAUUAAAUUGAACCACAGCAUAGGAGAAGAAAGGAAAGUGUCUAUAAUUAGGUUGGUUUUUCACUUUUGACACAGUAGGCCAAUUUUGUUCUCAAAUUGACUGUAUAAACCUGCAUAACUUAAUUUACUUCUGCUGGAAGUUCAGUGUAACUGUAUUAGCAUUGUUAGAGAUGAUACUCUCAUUCAAAUUGACUGUAUCUGAUGCUGCCUUGGAUUUAAAAAAAAUACAGUUAGUACUUUCCUUUUUUCCCUUUUGACUACCUUCUUCAAGUAAAAGAUGCUCUUGCCUGUAGAGGGAGAUUUUAAAACACACAAAGACCUGCCCGAAAGAAAGUAAAUCAUGAACUGCAUGCAUUAAGGAUGUUUAUAUUGGCAUAGGGUAGAGGGUGAGGAAGCCUGUCUUACAUGGCUACCUCUGUCAUAUGCUUCGGUCCUAUCUGCACUAGAAGCUGAUCUAUUAUGGACAAUCAGGGAUUAACAUGCAAACAGCUUACAGCAUAGUUAAAGGUUCCAUUCCUGAUAACCAUUUUAAAAUAUUAUUGUUGACAGGGAAGACCCGUGUGGCCCUGUGAAAUUCAUACACUUUUCUGUACCAUGUUUUCCUUAACUUAAAAACUGGAUUCCCAACAAUUCAUAAUAUUCCAUAGGGAGUAAAAUAAUAUCUGUUAUUCUGAGAUUCCUGGAUUAAGGCACUGUAGAAAUACAAAGUGUUAUUAUCAAGCAAUUAGGUUCAGGGAAAAAAUCUAGUAAACCCAGUCACUAAGUAGGUUGCUUAGCUUUGCGAAUCUGAAGCUUAACGAUUAGAAAGAGUUCGAAAAUGUUAGGUAUGCUGCCAGUAAGUGGUAUUGUCUGUGUAACAUACCGUGUCAUACAAACCAGAAGUCUAAAGGUGGAUGUUUCAGAGGAAAGCACCCAUAAUCACAGCAGUGUGUGAAAGGUAGGGGAUGAAUUCCUGUUAGGGAAAAAGAAUACCAGCAAUUACUGCUGUGAAGGGUAAGUCAAAUUAAGAGGAUCAUUUACCAGGCAUGACUGGCAGAUCAUGGAAAGAAAUUAGUAGCAAAAUUAGACUUCAUGGGCACAAAUGAGGUUAAAUAAAGUCCCCAAGUCUUUAUGUGAGUAAACUGAGAGUAAAACUCCUACAGGCAUUUAAAGAAAGCAGAAGAGUGAACCUUUCUUUAUGUGUCACCCUGCUUUGCUGCUGCUGUGAUCAGAGUUCCACUUGCAACCUGUUAUUGUUUGUUUUACUAGGAAAUCACUAGAGUAUCCCAAACUGAAAUUAAAACUUACUGUUUACCUAAAAAAGGACUAUUACAAAGAUGCAAGAAAAAGAUAAGCUCCAAAUCUUUCAAAUUGCAUUUUACCAUAUAAUGUAAAAAAGAGUACUGGAAGACAAACUAAGCAAAAUAAUAAUGGAUUAGCCCAAGAAAUGCCAUUUGAGCAGAACAGUUACCCAGUCAUGAUCAAGUAUAGCUUUGUCAGCAGAUAAAAGAUGAGUUAAGGGGAAACAGAAGUGGUGUUGUAUAGGCAGGUGGCUUACAGAUGGAAAACUAUUCUCAGUCAUGUGAAUGUGCAAAGAAAUGUAAGGGAAAAAUGGAAUGACAGACUGACAAGCAACAUAACUGACAGCUAGGAAGGGAAUACUAGUGGCUUCAUAACAGAUGAAUAUGAAGGUUGAUCUCAGAUCGUAUAACUACAUCAGAGCUAUCUUUAAACUAGUGAUCUCGGAUGUGGAAACAGAGCUUGUAGGAGUAAAAAAGGAAAAUAGCUGGCCCUGAGAGUUUUCACAGUAAGAACAGACAGAAAAGUCUAAACUCAGUGGCAGCAGUGGCUUUCCUCUAUCUGUUUUGGUCUGUAUGGAAAGAAACAGUGUAAGUAGAAGAUGAUGUAUAAAUUGCUAACAAAGUUGACAGUUAAACCAUUUUUGCAGGCUAGAAUUGUGAUGGAAUAUCAAAUGCAAUAUUAAAGCCAUUGCUUACAGAA